AUGACGACCAAUGUUGUUCUUGAUCUGUCUUCAGGUCACGCAGAGUCGGUACAUGCAGAGAAAAUUAAAGCUAAGUGGGCUGCGCCACCUAAAGGAAUGUUCAAAAUGAAUGUGGACGCAAGCUUCAUAUCCUGUACCAAUGAGGGUUGUAUAGGCCUGAUACCGCGGAACCAUGAAGGAGUUCUGAUGAGGGGUCAAGCAAUCUGGUGGUAUGGGCAAUCUGCCAAUGCUUUGAUUAUAGAGGCAUUUGCUAUUCUAGAUGGUAUCAAAUUACUUUGCGGCAUAGGUCUUUCCAAGAUCAUCAUUGAGACGAAUGCAAAGGAAGUGUCAAUUUAUGAAGGAACCGUACUGAAGGGGUGCAACUUUGUGCUAAGCAAGCCUAUGAGAAUAGAAGAAGGUGCUUAUGGAUCAAUCAUACAUAUGAUAGUGGAGGUGGGCCUUUUCUCGUGCAUGUUGUGUGAUGAUGUGGCAUUCUUGCAUGUUGAGAGAUAUAGAGAAAAAGGAGGAGGGAUGGGGACAAAUGGCGCUAGGGUGGCCCCACCGCAGCCGUCGGCUGACCCCAGGGGCCACUGCCGGGUGCGCCGAGGGAAGGUGCGUGAUUCCGGCGAUCAAGCCGGCGGCAGUGGCCUCAUAGAAAGCUGCAGCGACGACGCCGCGACUGAUCAAGACGACGUACCGCCGGUUCUGUGGCCUGCUGGUAGAUUUGAUGCCAGGUCGGGGGCUUGGAGCUCCCACUUGAAAGGCACUCAGGCAGUCAGGCUAGCUCUGAUCGAUAUUAGGCAUGCGCUGUUGAUCAUGGGCGAUGGCAACGACGAGGCCUCACGAGGAUCGUCACCGCGAGGGAUUUGA
Molecule: ribosomal RNA, 849 nt
Filed under: Triticum aestivum (bread wheat)
Lineage: Eukaryota; Viridiplantae; Streptophyta; Magnoliopsida; Poales; Poaceae
Description: partial small subunit ribosomal RNA
Source: RNAcentral